This 723-nucleotide ribosomal RNA is filed under the name fungal sp. Its description in RNAcentral is "partial large subunit ribosomal RNA". It matches the Rfam family "Eukaryotic large subunit ribosomal RNA", at positions 92 to 845 of the family's 3401-position model. The record is from RNAcentral. Lineage: Eukaryota; Fungi.
AGUGAAGCGGCAACAGCUCACAUUUGAAAUCUGAGCCCUAGGGUCUGAGUUGUAUUUUGUAGAGGAUGCUUUUGGUGAGGUGCCGCCCGAGUUCCCUGUAACGGGACGCCGCAAAUGGUGACAGCCCCGUCUGGCUGGCCACCGAGCCUCUGUAAAGCUCCUUCGACGAGUCGAGUAGUUUGCGAAUGCUGCUCCAAAUGCGAGGUAUAUGUCUUCUAACGCUAAGUAUUGUCCAGAGACCGAUAGCGUACAAGUAGAGUGAUCGUAAGAUGAAAAGCACCUUGAAAAGAGGGUUAAACAUUACGUGUUAUUGUUGACAGGUACUCGCUUGUGACCAGACUUGUACGCGGCGAAUCUUCCGGGGUUCUCUCCGGUGCACUUCUCCGUGUUCAGGCCAGCAUCAGUUCUGCGCGUGGGACAAAGGCUUCGGGAACGUGGCUGCCCCGGCAGUGUUAUAGCCCGUUGCAUAAUACCCUGCGCUGGACUGACGACCGCGCAUCUGCAAGGAUGCUGGCGUAAUGGUCACCAGCGACGCGUCUUGACUCACGGACCAAGGAGUCGUCUUCGUAUGCGAGUGUUCGGGUGUCAGACCCCUACGCGUAAUGACAGUGAUCGCACGUGAGAGCUUCGGCGCAUCAUCGACCGAUCCUGAUGUUCUCGGAUGGAUUUGAGUAAGAGCAUAUUGAGCCGGACCCGAAAGAAGGUGAACUAUGCCUGUAUAGG